GUACACCCCUACGGGAGGCAGCAGUGGGGAAUAUUGGACAAUGGGCGCAAGCCUGAUCCAGCCAUGCCGCGUGAGUGAUGAAGGCCCUAGGGUUGUAAAGCUCUUUCACCGGUGAAGAUAAUGACGGUAACCGGAGAAGAAGCCCCGGCUAACUUCGUGCCAGCAGCCGCGGUAAUACGAAGGGGGCUAGCGUUGUUCGGAUUUACUGGGCGUAAAGCGCACGUAGGCGGACUAUUAAGUCAGGGGUGAAAUCCCGGGGCUCAACCCCGGAACUGCCUUUGAUACUGGUAGUCUUGAGUUCGAGAGAGGUGAGUGGAAUUCCGAGUGUAGAGGUGAAAUUCGUAGAUAUUCGGAGGAACACCAGUGGCGAAGGCGGCUCACUGGCUCGAUACUGACGCUGAGGUGCGAAAGCGUGGGGAGCAAACAGGAUUAGAAACCCCUGUAGUCCCAUGAU
This 454-nucleotide ribosomal RNA is filed under the name uncultured organism. Its description in RNAcentral is "partial 16S ribosomal RNA". It matches the Rfam family "Bacterial small subunit ribosomal RNA", at positions 331 to 801 of the family's 1533-position model. The record is from RNAcentral.